This 221-nucleotide non-coding RNA is filed under the name Clostridium magnum. Its description in RNAcentral is "T-box sequence". It matches the Rfam family "T-box leader". From Rfam's summary of the family: Uncharged tRNA acts as the effector for transcription antitermination of genes in the T-box leader family. Lineage: Bacteria; Bacillati; Bacillota; Clostridia; Eubacteriales; Clostridiaceae. The record is from RNAcentral.
GAAAAUACAAAGAUGAGGAUUAGUAAAAAUUAAAGUCUUUUUUUAGAGAAGGAAUGUAAGGUGAGAGAUUCCUAAAAGACCAUUUUGAACCUACCUCUGAGUUCUGUACUGAAAUAAUAGUAGGAUACAGCGGUUAAUUACCGUUAAUAAUUAAGAGUGAAUAUGCUUGUUACAAGUGUAUUAAUCAGGGUGGUACCGCCGAUUAAGCCUCGGUCCCUUAU